RNAcentral lists this ribosomal RNA (117 nucleotides) under Rossellomorea aquimaris. RNAcentral also lists the same sequence under 1 other name. The record is from RNAcentral. Lineage: Bacteria; Bacillati; Bacillota; Bacilli; Caryophanales; Bacillaceae.
UCUGGUGACCAAGGCGAAGAGGUCACACCCGUUCCCAUACCGAACACGGAAGUUAAGCUCUUCAGCGCCGAUGGUAGUUGGGGGAUCUCCCCCUGUGAGAGUAGGACGUCGCCAGGC